UACGUAGGGUGCGAGCGUUAAUCGGAAUUACUGGGCGUAAAGUGUGCGCAGGCGGCAGAGCAAGUCGAGUGUGAAAGCCCCGGGCUUAACUUGGGAAUUGCGCUCGAAACUACUUUGCUGGAGUGUGGCAGAGGAAGGUGGAAUUCCACGUGUAGCGGUGAAAUGACGUAGAGAUGUGGAGGAACACCAAUGGCGAAGGCAGCCUUCUGGGCCAACACUGACGCUCAUGCACGAAAGCGUGGGGAGCAAACAGG
Molecule: ribosomal RNA, 254 nt
Filed under: uncultured bacterium
Lineage: Bacteria
Description: partial 16S ribosomal RNA
Rfam family: Bacterial small subunit ribosomal RNA
Source: RNAcentral